UCUUCGGGGGGUGAGGGGAAGAAGGGAGAGAGAAGGGGGGACAGCAACCAGCAGGCUGGGGCGCAGGCAGAAAGCCGGGGGGCCAGCAGCAAGCAGCAAAGCGGCAAAAGCCCCGGAGGCCAGCCCCCAACUCCCCCACAGCAGCUCGGGGGAGGGGCCGGGGCCACCACGGGAGCAGACAGCUCCAUGGCGGGGGCAGGGAGAGGAGCUAGUCAUAACACCAACCCAGGACGAGGAGGACAGAAGUGUUGCCAGUGUGAACAACUAAAACCAAACCACAGAAGUGCAGUUGUACUGACUUUUUCCAAUUACACAGCCAAUGAAGGGAGAUGGAAGCAAGGCAGAUGAACACUUGUAAUAUGAAGUUGGGUAACCCAAGAGGAUUGAAAAGUGAAUGGAAGGUAAAUGUUAAUUUAAAAUAUAAAAUGUCUUCUUGAUGUUAUUUCUCUGUGCAGUUCAGUAACUUCUGAAAGUAAAGUAGCUCUAGCCUGAAUCUGGAGUAAAUCAAGAACAAAAUAAUAAUUGUAGUUUACUCUGUAGCCACAUUUUUCAGUCUCUGGUAAUCUAGUUUCCCUGAUCUGAUACCCUUGUAUUUAAUCAGUAAAAAUGCAAAAUCCAUUUCCACUGUCUCAGAUGGUUCUGUUGGAGGGCAACGCUGUGGUACCUAUAUUCCUGUACUACAUCUGAUGGCAGUACCACUGUUAUCAGCACAAACUUGCCACUUCCAGUAGAAAGUUGCCUUGCAGCAUGAAGCAAUGAAGAAAUUCAGGGGUUCAUGCAGGCUAAUUUUAGGGCGGAAAAAAAAUUGAGGUGGAGAAAAAAAAAUUGAGGUGGAGGUAAAAAAAGUUUAUUUAAAAUAUUAAAAUUUUGUCAUAUGCAAAAGGUCAGUGUGAUUCAAUGAGAAUCUGUAAAUGCAUAGAUACAUAGCCUCUUCCUAAUGACUCCUGUGAGCCAAGCCUGCAGUGAGGAUGAGAACACCUCCCUGUGGCGGCAGGGAUGAGAUGGAGCCCUGAUGAAAUCUGAAAGAUGGCAUGCAUUUUGCCACAGAGCUCUCUCAUCCAAUUAAGCCAAGGUAAUUCAAAUAAAACAAGGUAGCUUGAACAUGUAGUUUAAUCAAAUUUCCCUUUUGGUGGCAAUUGUGAAAAAAUAAGAAAAAAAAAUUAGAAAUUAGAAAAAAUUAAAAAAAUAAAGAAAAAAGAUAUUCCAGUUCCACAGAUGCUUACUUGAAAUCAAAACCAUGAUUUUCCUUCUAUUAGGUUUUAGGCUCUAUCUCCACACUUUUCUACUUUUCUCCACAAGCUUUUCUACUCUGUUUCCUCCCAUAGUGUAUUAACAACUAUAUCAAAUAAAGAGAGCACAUAAUUUUUCAAGAAUGUUUUAAUGAAAAUGAAAACUGGAAAUCAUUAAGAAAAUGUGUUAGCCAGCAUGUCAGAAACAAUCCAUGGCCCAAAAUAAUCAAAUGAGAAUAACUGAAUUUCUGAGUUAAUGCAGAAAUAUGUGGUGUCUAAAACCUUUUGAAUUAAUCUUUUCCUUAAAAAUCUAGAAUAUCAAAAAUAAAAACAAACCACCACCACAAAACAAAACAGGAUUUUCUCCCUGUAAUAUUAGUUAGAGAAUAUUUCAGAUAGAACACUUAAAAAAAAGUUUCAACAGAAAAAAAAACCUACAACACUAAUAUAUCCAUUGGUCAGAAGUAUUGUAAAAAUUUUUGAAUGCCGAAUA
This 1722-nucleotide long non-coding RNA is filed under the name Ficedula albicollis (Collared flycatcher). RNAcentral's name for it is "lncRNA (ENSFALG00000022888.1)". The record is from RNAcentral. Lineage: Eukaryota; Metazoa; Chordata; Aves; Passeriformes; Muscicapidae.